This is an RNA transcript of Hyla sarda, 2663 nucleotides long. It is a transcript of the gene named glucoside xylosyltransferase 1, with no coding region annotated. The record is from RefSeq and is a predicted model, not a curated record. The transcript is spliced from 10 exons. NCBI's taxonomy places the organism in Eukaryota, Metazoa, Chordata, Amphibia, Anura, Hylidae.
UCAUUUGUCCCUUGUAUAGUGGUGUUUUUGGUGUGUGUAGUAGUUUUUAUUCAUUCCUAGCAAUAUGAUGAUAUUCGAUAGUCUCUGCAGUAAUAUGUGGUCCUGGUGUCAAGGGAUUUUAUUUAAUUAAACCAGUGUUUCCCAACCAGGGUGCCUCCAGCUGUUGCAAAACUACAACUUCCAGAAUGCCUGGACAGCCACAGUUCUGCAACAGCUGGGGGCACACUUGUUAGGAAACACUGCCCUGGGGGGUGCUCCCUCUCUCCAGGCUCAGCAGUGGCUCUCCCUCCUAGGACCCCCACUUUACAAUACGGUAAUACCGUAAUGUACACAGCCCCGCCUGCCGCACGCGUUACGCCUCCGUGCAGAUAGUGUCACGUUUCUCCAUUCUGUCGUCUCCGCCCCCCACAGUUUUCCAACCGCGCCCCCGGAUCCAGGGCUUGGAGUCAGCUCCCGGAAGGAAGAGGCCGACGAGCUGGCCCGGCCCGGGGGACAGUGGGAUGAGGUGGCCGGCAUCGCGGCUGGUGCUGCUGUGCCUGGUCUGCGGCUUCUGCUCGCUGCUGUAUGCCCUGACGCAGAGGGGGAGCGGGGGUACUGAGGGGCAGGACCCCGUCGCCCUCUCUUCCUCAGCAGUGUGGCGAGGGGCGCCCGGUGUGCGGCACAGGUGUCAGAAUUUCUCUGUCUCUUUCUGGAAUCCCUAUUGGAUGCUGCCCUCUGGUGUUUGUGGAAAGGACUGCUUUUGGGAAGCUGCUUUUAGAUACAACCUUCCUGAAAGACAUGAACUGGAUAUGAUGCACUUGGCAGUCGUGGCCUGUGGUGAUCGCUUGGAUGAGACUGUUACGAUGCUCAAGUCUGCCCUUCUUUUUAGUAUAAAGCCCCUUCAGUUUCAUGUCUUUGCUGAAGACCAGCUGCACAAAGAUUUCAGCACAAUUCUCAACAGUUGGGGGUUUUCAAAGAAGUUUAAGUACACACUAUACCCCAUUUCCUUUCCGUCAGAAAAUGCAGCAGAAUGGAGGAAACUUUUUAAGCCGUGUGCAUCACAGAGAUUGUUCUUGCCGUUAAUCCUCAAAGAUUUGGACUCCUUGCUGUAUGUUGACACGGACAUCAUUUUCUUACGUCCCGUGGAUGAUAUUUGGUUCUUUUUAAAUGAGUUUAAUUCUACUCAGAUCGCUGCUAUGGCUCCAGAGCAUGAAGAGCCACGCAUAGGAUGGUAUAACAGAUUUGCACGCCACCCUUUUUAUGGAAAGACUGGCAUUAAUUCUGGGGUUAUGUUAAUGAAUAUGACUCGUAUCAGAAGAAAACACUUUAAGAAUGACAUGACCACUGUUCCUCUGCACUGGGGAGAAAUCCUUAUGCCAUUGCUGAAAAAAUACAAGCUAAACAUAACAUGGGGUGACCAAGAUCUAUUAAAUAUAAUUUUUUCCCACAAUCCAGAAAGUAUUUACAUCUUCCCAUGCCAGUGGAAUUAUCGUCCUGAUCACUGCAUUUAUGGAAGCAAUUGUAAUGAAGCAGAAGAUGGAAUUUUUAUCCUUCAUGGGAACAGAGGUGUAUACCAUGACAAUAAGCAGCCAGCUUUUAGAGCUGUAUACGAAGCACUACGAAAUUUCUCAUUUGGAUAUGACCUCAUUGAGUCUUUGUUGCAUCCCUUAGAACUGGAAUUACAGAAAACAGAACACACAUACUGUGGCAGGAUACAUCAGCUAUUCACAAAGCAGCUUACCAAAAGCAUUGACGACUUUUAUACAAGGCAAUCUAAUUCCCUUAGGAAUCCUGCGCCCUAGUAGAAUUUCCCAUUUUCUCCUGCACAAGCUAUCCCGUGACGCUGAUACUACUACCGGUUACCUGAUCGUGGACCUGGAGGGAACCUGUGGCUGCGGAAUCAUUCAUUUUCCCACAAGCGCAUACAGGUGUUGUGCCCAUAGCAUAACACUCCUUGAUACCUUCAGAUGUCUUCCAUUCCAUGCAGCUUCUGUUUUGGCUGGAAGAAUAGUUUAUUAUGUUUUACCCAGAAAACCUGACAGAUCGCAUUGAAGUUAAUGGGAGCCAUGAGGUUAUGACUUUCAAUUUAUUAAAAAUGGAUUCUUUUUUUGUAAAUCUGUUUUUCUGUAAAGCAUUAGCUCGUGGCCCUGACGCUGGCACUGAUAUCUCUGCAUUGUACCAGAAGGCUGACAUCUCACAUAAGUGACAUCAAAUCUGAAAAGUCAGAUCUUUUAUGUCAGAAUAUGCUUACUUCUGGACUGGUGUCAGUACGGAGCACAAUAGAUUUUUUUUCCUAUUGCAAAGACUUUCAUAUAGAAGCUCAAAUUAUAUGACAUGUUCUCUCAGAAGAUGCUGUAUGAAGAAACACAAUCCCUGCCGCCUUAGGCACUCUGUGAAGCACCAUGUCACAGGGUUAUUUCUCCCUGAAACAAUGUUUCUUUGGAAGAAUAGCUUUGUAAUAUGGCAUGUGAUGGAGCAUACAAUGAUUACAAGUAACCUCCAUAGACUUAAGUAGAGAAUUAUAAGUAUACAUAUGUACUGUAGAGAGUAAUAGAAGUCUACAGUUGUAGUAUUGCAGCCCUAUAAGAUUGUAUGGAGCUAUAAUACAGCUGUAUCAAGAAGGAGGCUUACAAAAAGCAUCUGGCUAAAUAUCUGUUAUAUGCCUGCUGUAUGUAACCAUCUUU